UACAGAGGGUGCGAACGUUGCUCGGAAUUACUGGGCGUAAAGCGCAUGUAGGCGGGUCGGCAAGUCAGAUGUGAAAUCCCCGGGCUCAACCCGGGAACUGCAUCUGAAACUGCCGGUCUUGAGUACUGGAGAGGGUGGCGGAAUUCCUGGUGUAGAGGUGAAAUUCGUAGAUAUCAGGAGGAACACCGGUGGCGAAGGCGGCCACCUGGACAGUCACUGACGCUGAGAUGCGAAAGCGUGGGGAGCAAAC
This 250-nucleotide ribosomal RNA is filed under the name uncultured bacterium. RNAcentral's name for it is "partial 16S ribosomal RNA". It matches the Rfam family "Bacterial small subunit ribosomal RNA", at positions 524 to 773 of the family's 1533-position model. The record is from RNAcentral.